GGGGAAUCUUCCGCAAUGGACGAAAGUCUGACGGAGCAACGCCGCGUGAGUGAUGACGGCCUUCGGGUUGUAAAGCUCUGUUAAUCGGGACGAAAGGCCUUCUUGCGAAUAGUUAGAAGGAUUGACGGUACCGGAAUAGAAAGCCACGGCUAACUACGUGCCAGCAGCCGCGGUAAUACGUAGGUCCCGAGCGUUAUCCGGAUUUAUUGGGCGUAAAGCGAGCGCAGGCGGUUAGAUAAGUCUGAAGUUAAAGGCUGUGGCUUAACCAUAGUACGCUUUGGAAACUGUUUAACUUGAGUGCAGAAGGGGAGAGUGGAAUUCCAUGUGUAGCGGUGAAAUGCGUAGAUAUAUGGAGGAACACCGGUGGCGAAAGCGGCUCUCUGGUCUGUAACUGACGCUGAGGCUCGAAAGCGUGGGGAGCAAACAGGAUUAGAUACCCUGGUAGUCCACGCCGUAAACGAUGAGUGCUAGGUGUUGGGUCCUUUCCGGGACUCAGUGCCGCAGCUAACGCAUUAAGCACUCCGCCUGGGGAGUACGACCGCAAGGUUG
RNAcentral lists this ribosomal RNA (549 nucleotides) under uncultured bacterium. RNAcentral's name for it is "bacterial SSU rRNA". It matches the Rfam family "Bacterial small subunit ribosomal RNA", at positions 356 to 896 of the family's 1533-position model. The record is from RNAcentral.